This is a long non-coding RNA of Culex quinquefasciatus (southern house mosquito), 1319 nucleotides long. RefSeq lists it as uncharacterized. The transcript is spliced from 3 exons. NCBI's taxonomy places the organism in Eukaryota, Metazoa, Arthropoda, Insecta, Diptera, Culicidae. The record is from RefSeq and is a predicted model, not a curated record.
UGCCAUCUUCUCUCAUUGACGAGGGCUGGCUGCACAGAAUGAAGACGAACGAUUUCAUACCCAUACGAAGACUCGUACAGACCGCACCACUGAGUUGGGCGGUUGUCGCGGCUGCAACCUUCUCCGGCUCUGCCCUGUGAGGACUCGCUUUCGGGAGUUCUUGCGGAAAGUCUGAGGAGGAUGUAGACCACGUUCGAACCACGCGGAUCUUCGUCAGAUCUACACUCGAGUGUCUUCGAGCACUUGAGAUGUGAUCAUGCGGUAUCGACCUUCUUGGGGCGUAGACUCGGAUGUGUUUCACGGGGAGGCUGCGCCGGACUUGGGAUCGUAACCAAGUUCGUCAGGACUACGGGAGACAGUCUGAAGAUGUACCGAGUCACGAUGAGUGGAGUGUUGGUGUCCAUGAAGAACAAAACGCGUCUCCGUCUCGAACUAAUUCCUAGAAGAAUCUAGAAGCAUGACGAUGGAGAAGUUCGGGGUCACCUAUUCUGCGCUCAUCGUCCGGAUCGGAGGCCCACCCGGGUCUACGCCCCUGCUGCUAACGUUUCAACGGACUAUGGCUCUGGACAAUAAUAGGCUAUAAGUGACCAGGUGACGGGUGUUUUCCGUAAAUACUCGCAACACUCCCCCAGCUUGUCCACAGGGCUGGGGGGUGUUGUACUAUAUAUUUUUUGGUUUUUUGUUUACAAAGGGAGUUGGGAGAAUAUUAGAAUUAAAUCGGAAACCUUUUUAGUUUCAUUCCGGUAGAACACGAAAAAAACUUAACCAUGAGAAGCAUUGAUAACCAAUAGCUAUUAGAGUUAAGUGCAAAUGCAGCAGCACAACAAACUAUAAACGAAAUAUCAACUAGUUUGUAAGACAUUUGAUUGUACCACUAUAUGACCACUAAAUGAUGAUGAUGAUAAAAAAAAAUCAAUUAUUGUCGCAAUAUGUGCCAUCAGCGCACUAUUCGGCACCAACUAUAUGAAACUUUGCAAUUAUAUAACAUUUGUCCUCGUGACACAAAACCCUAAAUGAAUUAAAUGAUGAUGAUUUUGAAAACGAAGAUUAUACCAAAUCGAUGAAGAAAAGGAGAACAAUAAUUGAAAAAUAGGUGUGAGGAAAUAAAAAACGGAAAAAACCAUACAAUUAAAGUUCUUUUCAUUUACACGCAUUGACGAAAGUUACGGAAUAGUAGAAAUAGUUUGAUUGCAUAACCACAGUAGGAUUUCAUUUUUUUUCUCAGGUAUUAUUUGACAUAAAGUCCACAAGGUACGAUCCUUGCUGUAAUAGAACUGGUUAGAGGCCUAAAUAAAACAAUAUACAAACUGGAAUCAGUA